GCUGGGCAUGGUGGCACAUGCCUGUAAUCCCAGCAGUUUGGGAGGCUGAGGCAGGAGGAUUGCAGAUGUGAAGCUAGCCUCAGCAAUUUGGCGAGGCUGUAAGCAACCUAGUGAAACCCUGUCUCAA
This 127-nucleotide small RNA is filed under the name Marmota monax (woodchuck). Lineage: Eukaryota; Metazoa; Chordata; Mammalia; Rodentia; Sciuridae. The record is from RNAcentral.